RNAcentral lists this ribosomal RNA (560 nucleotides) under Sterigmatomyces halophilus. RNAcentral describes it as "partial large subunit ribosomal RNA". It matches the Rfam family "Eukaryotic large subunit ribosomal RNA", at positions 53 to 614 of the family's 3401-position model. The record is from RNAcentral. Lineage: Eukaryota; Fungi; Basidiomycota; Agaricostilbomycetes; Agaricostilbales; Agaricostilbaceae.
GAGGAAAAGAAACUAACAAGGAUUCCCCUAGUAACGGCGAGUGAAGUGGGAAGAGCUCAACUUUGUAAUCUGGCUGCUUCGCAGUCCGAGUUGUAGUCUAAAGAAGCAUGAUCCGCGCCGGACCUUGGGCAUGUCUGUUGGAAAGCAGUGUCAAAGAGGGUGAUAAUCCCGUACAUACCAAGGACGACCGUGUGCAUUGUGGUCUGCUCUCUAAGAGUCGAGUUGUUUGGGAAUGCAGCUCUAAUUGGGUGGUAAAUUCCAUCUAAAGCUAAAUAUCGACGAGAGACCGAUAGCGAACAAGUACAGUAAUGGAAAGAUGAAAAGUAGCCUGCAGAGGCAAUGAAACAAUACGUGAAACCGUUUGUAGGGAAGCGAUGGAACCUUUUCACGCUGCGAGGGUUCAGCCUUUCUUCGGAUUGGUGUAUUCCCUCGUUUUGCGGACCAGCAUCAGUUUGCUUGGCAGUAUAAGGGUGUUUGGAACGUGGCUCCCACGGGAGUGUUAUAGCCUUUCACUGGAUGCUGCCUCGCAGACUGAGGACUGCAGUGCGCCAUUAUGGCAU